Molecule: ribosomal RNA, 460 nt
Filed under: uncultured bacterium
Lineage: Bacteria
Description: partial 16S ribosomal RNA
Rfam family: Bacterial small subunit ribosomal RNA
Source: RNAcentral
CCUACGGGUGGCAGCAGUGAGGAAUAUUGGUCAAUGGACGAGAGUCUGAACCAGCCAAGUAGCGUGAAGGAUGAAUGCUCUAUGGGUUGUAAACUUCUUUUAUAUGGGAAUAAAAUGUUCCACGUGUGGGAUUUUGUAUGUACCAUAUGAAUAAGGAUCGGCUAACUCCGUGCCAGCAGCCGCGGUAAUACGGAGGAUCCGAGCGUUAUCCGGAUUUAUUGGGUUUAAAGGGUGCGUAGGUGGAUAGUUAAGUCAGUUGUGAAAGUUUGCGGCUCAACCGUAAAAUUGCAGUUGAAACUGGCUGUCUUGAGUACAGUAGAGGUGGGCGGAAUUCGUGGUGUAGCGGUGAAAUGCUUAGAUAUCACGAAGAACUCCGAUUGCGAAGGCAGCUCACUGGACUGCAACUGACACUGAGGCACGAAAGUGUGGGGAUCAAACAGGAUUAGAUACCCCUGUAGUC